Molecule: ribosomal RNA, 700 nt
Filed under: uncultured bacterium
Lineage: Bacteria
Description: bacterial SSU rRNA
Rfam family: Bacterial small subunit ribosomal RNA
Source: RNAcentral
ACCGGCAAACGGGUGCGUAACACGUACGCAACCUUCCCGUUACUGUGGCAUAGCCCAGGGAAACUUGGAUUAAUACCACACAUUACAUAGAGGCGGCAUCGUCUUUAUGUCAAAGCUUCGGCGGUAACGGAUGGGCGUGCGGUUGAUUAGGUAGUUGGCGGGGUAACGGCCCACCAAGCCUACGAUCAAUAGCUGAUGUGAGAGCAUGAUCAGCCACACGGGCACUGAGACACGGGCCCGACUCCUACGGGAGGCAGCAGUAAGGAAUAUUGGGCAAUGGACGCAAGUCUGACCCAGCCAUGCCGCGUGAAGGAUUAAGGUCCUCUGGAUUGUAAACUUCUUUUCUCUGGGGCGAAAACCAGCUAUUCUUAGCUAUUUGACAGUACCAGAGGAAUAAGCACCGGCUAACUCCGUGCCAGCAGCCGCGGUAAUACGGAGGGCGCAAGCGUUAUCCGGAUUCACUGGGUUUAAAGGGUGCGUAGGUGGGCUAGUAAGUCCGUGGUGAAAUCCCCGAGCUUAACUUGGGAACUGCCAUUGAUACUAUUAGUCUUGAAUAUCGUGGAGGUAAGCGGAAUAUGUCAUGUAGCGGUGAAAUGCUUAGAUAUGACAUAGAACACCAAUUGCGAAGGCAGCUUGCUACACGGUCAUUGACACUGAGGCACGAAAGCGUGGGGAGCAAACAGGAUUAGAUACCCUGGUA